CCUGAUCCUAACAUGUCCAUCCUAACAA
RNAcentral lists this small RNA (28 nucleotides) under Bombyx mori (domestic silkworm). RNAcentral's name for it is "ovarian small RNA-2617". Lineage: Eukaryota; Metazoa; Arthropoda; Insecta; Lepidoptera; Bombycidae. The record is from RNAcentral.